AUCACCUGGGGAUCUUGUUAAAAUGUAGAUUCUGAUUCAGUAGGUCUGUGGUGAAGCCCGAGAUUCUGCAUUUCUAACAAGCUUUCACAUGAUGCUAGU
MicroRNA precursor from Loxodonta africana (African savanna elephant), 99 nucleotides. The record is from Ensembl. Lineage: Eukaryota; Metazoa; Chordata; Mammalia; Proboscidea; Elephantidae.